Molecule: transfer RNA, 71 nt
Filed under: Nerita versicolor
Lineage: Eukaryota; Metazoa; Mollusca; Gastropoda; Cycloneritida; Neritidae
Description: tRNA-Phe
Source: RNAcentral
ACUCCGAUAGCUUAUCUCCUAGAGCAUAACGCUGAAGACGUUAGGGUGGCAGUAUUUCAUGCCUUGGGGUG